RNAcentral lists this ribosomal RNA (459 nucleotides) under uncultured bacterium. Its description in RNAcentral is "partial 16S ribosomal RNA". It matches the Rfam family "Bacterial small subunit ribosomal RNA", at positions 338 to 795 of the family's 1533-position model. The record is from RNAcentral.
GCUACGGGCGGCAGCAGUGAGGAAUAUUGGUCAAUGGCCGAAAGCCUGAACCAGCCAAGCCGCGUGAGGGACGACUGUGCCAAGCAUUGUAAACUUCUUUUGUAAGGGGGCAAAAUCCGUCUCGAGCACCUUCCCGAGAGUACUUUACGAAAAAGCAUCGGCUAACUCCGUGCCAGCAGCCGCGGUAAUACGGAGGAUGCGAGCGUUAUCCGGAUUUAUUGGGUUUAAAGGGUGCGUAGGCGGAAUGUUAAGUCAGCGGUAAAAUCACGGGGCUUAACCUCGGCGAGCCGUUGAUACUGGAGGGCUAGAGAGCGGGCGAGGUAGGCGGAAUGAGUAGAGUAGCGGUGAAAUGCAUAGAUAUUGCGUAGAACUCCGAUUGCGAAGGCAGCAUACCGGAGGGGAUCUGACGCUGAGGCACGAGAGCGUGGGUAUCGAACAGGAUUAGAUACCCUUGUAGUC